GUCUUGUAAUCCCAACGGUGAUGUCAUCGCCAGCCAAUGGUUGCGUUUUAAAGAUUACACAAAGGCGGGAGGAGCGCUGUGCUUCUUGUUUUUCAAGAUUGUAGAAGCUUCGUCGUCCGAUGGUCUUUUGUGAGGACAACCAUAUGUUCUGCAUUCCAAGCUGUAGCUGAUUCUCCCUGAUCUGUUCUUGACAGGUAUGAUGGACAAGCCAAUUGAAAAACAAACUGGAGUGCUGUUCCUUCACAUGGUGAUGACUGCAAGGAUUGUACUUACCAAACACUUUCAGCACCCAGCCAGAGUGGAUCCUACAUGUUAAAUGUAAAUGUUAAAUUUAUCACUUUUUCUUUUUUUGUACACUAUUCUUUGUUGUUGUUAGGGUUGAUUGUAUGCUUUUGUUUUGUUUCAUUUUGUUUGUUUUAUUGUUUUGUAUUUUAUUCUCUAUGAUAAAACAAUAAAAAAUAAAAAAGCUACAUACAUACCAAACAUAUUAAUUUAUCAUAUAAAUUUUAGUUGCAUGCUGUAGGUCUAGAUUUCUCCCAGGGAGAGGAAAGAAUAAUAAUUGCCCUUUUACAUUUUGUAGGAAUGUGUCAGAACCCAUUUCUAUUUCAUUUCUAUCUAUCCCCUCUGACUUAAAACCAAAUCUCCCUUUUCCCUGGGUUCUGCCAUACUCCCAAGGGGGAGGGGGGGAUGUGUCUGCGGGGUUAUUGCUUUUGCUUCCUCUAUUUGCUACAAUGUAAACUUUUGCUUCGUUUAUUGCCUCUGUGUCCACUAAAAUGUAACAAAUUGCUUCCUGCGCUAUGUCUUUCUCUGAACUUUAUUUUCCCAAACUGUCAAUUAGAACAAGGGAGGAAAUAAGGAAUGUAACCCAGUGCCUGGUUUAUUUCUAAACUCUCAGAGGAAGGUGUGAAGAAGCCGCUGACCAUCGCUGCGUGAACUGGAGAUGGGCCAAUGUUAUCUCCCUUUUUCCCACAAUGGACUUAAACACCUGGGAACUGGCCAUCCCAUACAGGACAGGUGGGCUAUGGGGUGGGGUCUAAGUUGGGGAUACCUUAAUCUAUCACUCUGCGUGGGAAAUCUCAAAUCCUGUCUAUUAUACCUGCUAUCAACUACUCUUAAUAAAAGUUUCUGUUGGAAGAAAUUGUCUCCAAGAGUUCUGCUUUCUUAAGAAGUGAGG
This is a long non-coding RNA of Crotalus tigris (Tiger rattlesnake), 1174 nucleotides long. RefSeq lists it as uncharacterized. The record is from RefSeq and is a predicted model, not a curated record. The transcript is spliced from 3 exons. NCBI's taxonomy places the organism in Eukaryota, Metazoa, Chordata, Lepidosauria, Squamata, Viperidae.